RNAcentral lists this small RNA (28 nucleotides) under Bombyx mori (domestic silkworm). RNAcentral describes it as "ovarian small RNA-16909". The record is from RNAcentral. Lineage: Eukaryota; Metazoa; Arthropoda; Insecta; Lepidoptera; Bombycidae.
GCGCUUCCGUGGAGUCUUGGGGCAUCCU